UACGGAGGAUGCGAGCAUUAUCCGGAUUUAUUGGGUUUAAAGGGUGCGUAGGCGGACGCUUAAGUCAGCGGUAAAAUUGCGGGGCUCAACCUCGUCGAGCCGUUGAAACUGGGUGCCUUGAGUGGGCGAGAAGUACGCGGAAUGCGUGGUGUAGCGGUGAAAUGCAUAGAUAUCACGCAGAAUUCCGAUUGCGAAGGCAGCGUACCGGCGCCCAACUGACGCUGAAGCACGAAGGCGUGGGUAGCAAACAGG
RNAcentral lists this ribosomal RNA (252 nucleotides) under uncultured bacterium. RNAcentral's name for it is "partial 16S ribosomal RNA". It matches the Rfam family "Bacterial small subunit ribosomal RNA", at positions 524 to 776 of the family's 1533-position model. The record is from RNAcentral.